CUACUACUACUACUGCUGCUGCUGCUGCUGCUACUGCUGCUGCUGCUGCUGCUGCUGCUGCUUCAGCACUUUGCAACAUCUCUACUGUGCCUACUGCUACCACCAGUACUAGCAGUAACUACUGACAGUAGUAGUGUUAGUAACAGUAGCUGUACUCACUGGUAGUACUCAAACUGCUACUGUUACUAGAUUGGAAAGGCUCCACCCGCUGCACACCUGAGCUGGAUUAACAGCCUCUCAGACUCUGCUGCUGGAACUCUUCCUGCCUCUAACUGUCUGCAGACUCCAGCUCUCCUCGGUGCUUCACUGCCCCCUGGUGUCCAAACUCAGAGCUGCAGGUUGUUUCCUCUUCAUCGCUCACAUUUAAAGUUAGUUUUGAUCAAAAUAACUUAAGAUUAGAAAUAAAAACUAAGAUUUUAUUUUUAA
Long non-coding RNA from Micropterus dolomieu (smallmouth bass), 426 nucleotides. RefSeq lists it as uncharacterized. The record is from RefSeq and is a predicted model, not a curated record. The transcript is spliced from 2 exons. Lineage: Eukaryota; Metazoa; Chordata; Actinopteri; Centrarchiformes; Centrarchidae.